This 253-nucleotide ribosomal RNA is filed under the name uncultured bacterium. RNAcentral describes it as "partial 16S ribosomal RNA". It matches the Rfam family "Bacterial small subunit ribosomal RNA", at positions 524 to 776 of the family's 1533-position model. The record is from RNAcentral.
UACGUAGGGUGCAAGCGUUAAUCGGAAUUACUGGGCGUAAAGCGUGCGCAGGCGGUCCGCUAAGACAGAUGUGAAAUCCCCGGGCUUAACCUGGGAACUGCAUUUGUGACUGGCGGGCUAGAGUAUGGCAGAGGAGGGUAGAAUUCCACGUGUAGCAGUGAAAUGCGUAGAGAUGUGGAGGAAUACCGAUGGCGAAGGCAGCCCCCUGGGCCAAUACUGACGCUCAUGCGCGAAAGCGUGGGGAGCAAACAGG